UCCAGACUCCUACGGGAGGCAGCAGUGAGGAAUAUUGGUCAAUGGCCGAGAGGCUGAACCAGCCAAGUCGCGUGAGGGAUGACGGCCCUACGGGUUGUAAACCUCUUUUGUCGGGGAGCAAAGAGAGUCACGUGUGACUCAUUGAGAGUACCCGAAGAAAAAGCAUCGGCUAACUCCGUGCCAGCAGCCGCGGUAAUACGGAGGAUGCGAGCGUUAUCCGGAUUUAUUGGGUUUAAAGGGUGCGCAGGCGGAGGUACAAGUCAGCGGUCAAAUUGCGGGGCUCAACCCCGUACUGCCGUUGAAACUGCAUCCCUUGAGUGCGCGAGAAGUAUGCGGAAUGCGUGGUGUAGCGGUGAAAUGCAUAGAUAUCACGCAGAACCCCGAUUGCGAAGGCAGCCUUCCGGCGCCCUACUGACGCUGAGGCACGAAAGUGCGGGGAUCGAACAGGAUUAGAUACCCGCGUA
This 464-nucleotide ribosomal RNA is filed under the name uncultured bacterium. Its description in RNAcentral is "bacterial SSU rRNA". It matches the Rfam family "Bacterial small subunit ribosomal RNA", at positions 330 to 792 of the family's 1533-position model. The record is from RNAcentral.